CCUCUAUAAAAAAAAAUACAACAAAAACUAUUAGUAUUUCCUCUACCAAAAAAAUAAAAAUAUCUUUUUCAAAAAAAAGUUACACCACCACCUACUAUAGUCUAUACACCACCAAUCCAUUGCUUCAUCCCCCAAUCCAUCUCCCCUCUUCCCACAAACCUCUCUCUCUCUCUCUCUCUCUCUCUCUCUCUCUAGGUGUGUGUGUGUGAAAAACGGUAGGAAUGAAAAGGGAUGUUAAUUAAUUUAUUUAUGAUAAAAAUAAUAGAAGAUGAUCUUUGUUCUGGUUAUGAAAUGAAAUUAUAUGAUACAGUAUAUUAUUUGAAAGUGAAUAU
Molecule: long non-coding RNA, 332 nt
Filed under: Salvia miltiorrhiza (redroot sage)
Lineage: Eukaryota; Viridiplantae; Streptophyta; Magnoliopsida; Lamiales; Lamiaceae
Description: long non-coding RNA (SMIL_LNC011128)
Source: RNAcentral